UAGAGUUUGAUCAUGGCUCAGGACGAACGCUGGCGGCGUGCCUAAUACAUGCAAGUCGAACGAACUCUGGUAUUGAUUGGUGCUUGCAUCAUGAUUUACAUUUGAGUGAGUGGCGAACUGGUGAGUAACACGUGGGAAACCUGCCCAGAAGCGGGGGAUAACACCUGGAAACAGAUGCUAAUACCGCAUAACAACUUGGACCGCAUGGUCCGAGUUUGAAAGAUGGCUUCGGCUAUCACUUUUGGAUGGUCCCGCGGCGUAUUAGCUAGAUGGUGGGGUAACGGCUCACCAUGGCAAUGAUACGUAGCCGACCUGAGAGGGUAAUCGGCCACAUUGGGACUGAGACACGGCCCAAACUCCUACGGGAGGCAGCAGUAGGGAAUCUUCCACAAUGGACGAAAGUCUGAUGGAGCAACGCCGCGUGAGUGAAGAAGGGUUUCGGCUCGUAAAACUCUGUUGUUAAAGAAGAACAUAUCUGAGAGUAACUGUUCAGGUAUUGACGGUAUUUAACCAGAAAGCCACGGCUAACUACGUGCCAGCAGCCGCGGUAAUACGUAGGUGGCAAGCGUUGUCCGGAUUUAUUGGGCGUAAAGCGAGCGCAGGCGGUUUUUUAAGUCUGAUGUGAAAGCCUUCGGCUCAACCGAAGAAGUGCAUCGGAAACUGGGAAACUUGAGUGCAGAAGAGGACAGUGGAACUCCAUGUGUAGCGGUGAAAUGCGUAGAUAUAUGGAAGAACACCAGUGGCGAAGGCGGCUGUCUGGUCUGUAACUGACGCUGAGGCUCGAAAGUAUGGGUAGCAAACAGGAUUAGAUACCCUGGUAGUCCAUACCGUAAACGAUGAAUGCUAAGUGUUGGAGGGUUUCCGCCCUUCAGUGCUGCAGCUAACGCAUUAAGCAUUCCGCCUGGGGAGUACGGCCGCAAGGCUGAAACUCAAAGGAAUUGACGGGGGCCCGCACAAGCGGUGGAGCAUGUGGUUUAAUUCGAAGCUACGCGAAGAACCUUACCAGGUCUUGACAUACUAUGCAAAUCUAAGAGAUUAGACGUUCCCUUCGGGGACAUGGAUACAGGUGGUGCAUGGUUGUCGUCAGCUCGUGUCGUGAGAUGUUGGGUUAAGUCCCGCAACGAGCGCAACCCUUAUUAUCAGUUGCCAGCAUUAAGUUGGGCACUCUGGUGAGACUGCCGGUGACAAACCGGAGGAAGGUGGGGAUGACGUCAAAUCAUCAUGCCCCUUAUGACCUGGGCUACACACGUGCUACAAUGGAUGGUACAACGAGUUGCGAACUCGCGAGAGUAAGCUAAUCUCUUAAAGCCAUUCUCAGUUCGGAUUGUAGGCUGCAACUCGCCUACAUGAAGUCGGAAUCGCUAGUAAUCGCGGAUCAGCAUGCCGCGGUGAAUACGUUCCCGGGCCUUGUACACACCGCCCGUCACACCAUGAGAGUUUGUAACACCCAAAGUCGGUGGGGUAACCUUUUAGGAACCAGCCGCCUAAGGUGGGACAGAUGAUUAGGGUGAAGUCGUAACAAGGUAGCCGUAGGAGAACCUGCGGUUGGAUCACCUCCUUAGAUU
RNAcentral lists this ribosomal RNA (1565 nucleotides) under Lactiplantibacillus pentosus. RNAcentral describes it as "Lactobacillus pentosus partial 16S rRNA". It matches the Rfam family "Bacterial small subunit ribosomal RNA". The record is from RNAcentral. Lineage: Bacteria; Bacillati; Bacillota; Bacilli; Lactobacillales; Lactobacillaceae.